GGACGUGACAUCAGUUGCGCUGACCCUUCUGAAAUUGUGUUCAUGAAAAGUCGUGAGCCUUUAUCGAAAUACCCCUGACGAAAUCUCAGUGGGGAUCUGCAAAGUUGGCUGAAAGUGGACUCAAGCUAAAGGUAGCUGGCACUUGAAGAAUGCCGAGAGGAUGACCUGGAACAGAAUGGUCUCUGCCAAAUAUUUGGGCCUUGAUGCUUGAAAAAUUGUGGAAAUUCACCGGGCGACUAUUUUCUUAACAAAAGCUUGAGAUCUGUGUCUUUUAAGCAGCCAUGCUCUUGGGUACUUCUAAUUGUUAAACAGAUAUUGAUUUGAAUAAUCUUAGCUUUCUCCAACUGCAUUUGCAGUUUUGCUGUACUGUGAUUUAAUUAUGGCUUAAUUAAUAAAUGAUAUUAAGCAU
Molecule: long non-coding RNA, 409 nt
Organism: Protobothrops mucrosquamatus (brown spotted pit viper)
Lineage: Eukaryota; Metazoa; Chordata; Lepidosauria; Squamata; Viperidae
Exons: 3
Source: RefSeq, a predicted model, not a curated record